This 386-nucleotide ribosomal RNA is filed under the name Leucorrhinia intacta. RNAcentral describes it as "partial 12S ribosomal RNA". The record is from RNAcentral. Lineage: Eukaryota; Metazoa; Arthropoda; Insecta; Odonata; Libellulidae.
UUUUUUAAAUGGAAAUAAACCCGGGUAGAUAGUAUUUCUUGAACCCAAAGAUUGGCGGUAUUUAUUUUUUUAAAGAACCUGUCCGGUAUUGAAAUCCCCGAUAAGAGCCCUUAUUUUGUUUCCAUUUGAAACCUCCGUCUCAGAGAUCUUUUAGGGUAUAAUAUUCUUAAUAUAAAAAUAUUAUAUUCAGUCCAGGGCCAUUUAUGAUAGUAUAGAGGGUACAUAAUUUAUUUAACGGAUUAUUAUUUUAUAAUAUAUGAAGGGGAUUUAAAAGUAAAAUAAUUUAAUUGGUGAUUGAUAUAGUUUUAAAUAAGCCCCCAUUCGCCGGUCGUUUUAUUUUAAAAUAAGAUAAGUCGGUACCAUAGAGGGUCCGGAAGGUGUCCUAG